Molecule: long non-coding RNA, 309 nt
Filed under: Oryctolagus cuniculus (rabbit)
Lineage: Eukaryota; Metazoa; Chordata; Mammalia; Lagomorpha; Leporidae
Description: lncRNA (ENSOCUG00000032172.1)
Source: RNAcentral
AUGAAUGGAACGUGCUCAGGCUUUGCAUCUCAGGAAGUUUUUCACAUGAGAGAAAAUUCUCACCUAUGUAUCCUUCUCAUAGGGACAGGGUUCGUUCUUGUUUUGUACAACCACUUUCUUUUUCCUCUGUUCUUUUUGGAAUGCUUUGCAGAUGAAUACGGCUGGCGGAGUGGAGGAGGAGUGCUCAUGUCUUUGGAUGUUUUCAAAUCCUCCAGAACUGUGACUCGGGAAAGGUUGCAAACUCAGCAAGAUCCUUCAUUUUUCUUAUUGCAUCUCCACAUACAAUAUGGUGCCUCGCACACCCUCUAA